AUGGGAAGACUACGGAAAGCCUGUCCCAAGGAUGUCCCGCUUGUUUCUUUAGUUGAGAGUGCUGAUUCUUUAAAAGAACCUUUCGUGCCUAACGAUUUUGCUGAUGAUAAUGUUAUGUCUUUGGAUUCUUCUGGUGAUGAUGAAGAGCUUGGCAAAGCACUUUACAAUUUCUAUGUGAAAAAUAAAGUCAAGCACCUGAAGAGGAAAUUGUCUUCUGUUAGUAGAAGGAAUGUUAGGCAGAAACGAUCUUCUGAUUUCCCUGUUUGUUCGACGUUCACUCGAUACUCUGGAAAGUUCUUCUCGGGAGUUGUUGAUGGCAUGUGUUCUAGGUACAAGGAUGUUAUUCAGAUGUAUGACAUGGGUUGUCUCCUUAAUUUUGUCCGGAUCGAGGUUCCUCUUAGGCUAGUUAAGUGGCUUGCAUCUAGGUUCGACGUUCCUGCUUCCGAGUUUCAGUUGAAAAGGAAAUUCAUACCCUUAACUAAGUAUGAUAUCCAUGACAUCCUUGACCUCCCAGUAGAUGGUGAGCCACUUGUUUCAGAUCGUGAGGCUGGUCGUGAUUUUAUCCUCUCUCAUUUCAAUCUUACUAGUAUCCCACCAGUGUCCUUUUUUGCCAACAAGCUUAAAUCUGUAGAAGUUGAUUUUCUUAAUGAGGACGUCUUCAUUUGUUUCAUGAUUGUGGCUUUCUUUACUUUCCUUUGUCCCAACUCUAGCCUCAAUCCUAGUCUGAAGUACCUCCACAUCUUUCAGGAUUGUCAGUCUGUGCGUUCCUAUGAUCUUUCUAGUUUUAUUUACGAGUGGCUUUUGAGUGGCAUCAAAAAAUUCAAGGAUGCUACUAAAGUUGCCUCCAAAAGAUCAGUGACCUUCGGUGGAUGCCAUUAUGCAUUUGCCGUAGCUUACCUUGAUCAUUUGAACUUUGGGCUUCAGUCUGUACCUGAUGUGAAACCUCGCAGUAAGAGUUUUGAUAUUGGCCCUUCUGAUGGUUCUUUUGCAAUGAAAGUUCAAAGAACUAUUUGCCCUCACUUUGGAUCUCAGACUGCUCUUGAAGUCAUUGAGCUUGUUCAGACUAGAAACCAAGACAAACCUAAGAUAUUCAUUGAUUGGGCAGAGUCUCUUGUUUUAAAUGUUCUGGAAUGUAACAAGUCUGUCUCAUUUCAUUCUGCUAUCGCCAAUGGUGUUUUUGCUAAAUCUGAUGGUAUUCCAGAGGUUGCUAUAUCUGAUGCUAUUCCGGAGGUUGCUAAAUCUGAUGUUGCCCUAGAGGUUCCUACGUCUGAUGCUAUUCCAGAGGUUGCUACAUCUGAUGGUAUUCCAGAGGCUGUUGUACAGCAAGAGAGUCGUCCUGCGGUCACUCCAGAUGUCGUUACUCCCAUUGUCCCUCUUGUUGUUAUCUUUGGUGGUUUAGAUAAUCCAGUUGUUCUAUCUAGCUCUUCAACACCUGCUAAAGUGCAUAAUGAGGCUGUUGCAAAAGAAGGUCCUAUUCCAGUAUGCGCCUUGUUUUCUGAAGUUAAAACAAAAGAUUCAAUUGCUGCAGUUCCUGCCAAAGGUAUUUCUCCUUCAAAGUCUAAAUGUGAUAUUACUGAUGUCGAUUCUUUCGUGUUGCUUUCAGAUGGCCCUGCUAAGGAUUGUAAUGAGAAAGAUGCUGCUAACAGUUUUGGGAUUCCUUCCUUUGCCGAGCUUAAUCGUGCUCUUGGUAUUCAGUCUCCUUCUAAUGUCUGCAAUUACACCCCAGUUCAUGCUCAUGGAAAAUCUCCUAUGGAAGAUACAAAUUCUUUUAGAGACCUGUCACCCCUUGUUCCAAUUCGCUUGUCGCAGUAUUUCCGUAAUGAGUUGGGUGAUGUCCAGUGUUCUCAGUAUGUUGCCGACAGAUAUCUGAAGUUGUUUAAUUCACCUAAUGAUGAGGAUUGUAUUGUUAUGGUUAAUGUCGAUCACUCUGAUUAUUCAAAGCCAACCAAUCAUGUGAACUUAUGUUCUCCUGAUGUAAUCUUGCAAACUACUCCAAAAGCUGUUGUGAAGCUCAAUGAGGCAGUAGUUGAUGUCCAUAAAGUUGGUAGCUCAAACUUUGCAGCUAGGUGUCAAGAGCUAUCUAGAUCAAAUGAUGUUACUUACAACAAGCUGCACAGUUUUGCUGCCCCUGCAACAAUUUAUCGUAAUCUUAUAAAGGUUGCUAAUAGCCCGGAAUUAGAGAUCCUGUCAGACACGCCUGUUGUUUCUAGUGCUCAUCUUCUAAGGUUCCUGCAUGUUCGAAAGGUGCUCCAUCAUUUCAGCCCCUUGGUGGUUCUACAACUAGUUCUUCUGCAGUUACUGCUCAAGAAAGGCGUGAUCAUCUUGCAAUGGUUCAGAUUGCAAGUCAUCCAGAGUGGUGCAAGUACGAGGCUAUCCGAUAUGAAAGAGCUUACUGUAGUUAUCGAAACAAUUCUGGAUGGUACUAAUGCUGAGAUUGUUGGUAAUGCUUUCAAUGGUGCUAAUAGCGCUUUUCCUAUGUGGAGAAGCAACAUGCUGUACUUCCCUAUUUGUAGGUCCAGUCAUUGGUUUUCUUUUGUGGUUUGCUUGAAGGAGAAACUGUUUGUCUUCCUCGAUUCAUUAUAUGGCGAGUUCUCUGAUUUCCACCUAGCCAUUCAUGAUCCGAUUGUUAACAACUUCAUCAAUCUAUGGGACACAUAUGUGACUCCUAUAUUGAGGAAGCGUAUUGACUUUGAAAAUUUCGACAUUGUGUAUCCUGCGGUCCCUCAGCAAAAUAACACGUAUGAUUGUGGUGUUUUCUCUGUUAUGUACAUGAAGCACUGGUCUCCUAGGACUCCAAUCGGCAAUCUUUUUACGCAAGCUGAUAUAGAUAACAUCAGGAUCAAGCUCGCAAAUGAAGUUUAUUUCAGCCAUUUCAACACUGCUGACAAGUCUCUUGUCACAAACUUCUUUGGUGACGUGCAGAACUAG
RNAcentral lists this ribosomal RNA (2928 nucleotides) under Triticum aestivum (bread wheat). RNAcentral describes it as "partial small subunit ribosomal RNA". Lineage: Eukaryota; Viridiplantae; Streptophyta; Magnoliopsida; Poales; Poaceae. The record is from RNAcentral.